This 336-nucleotide unclassified non-coding RNA is filed under the name soil metagenome. Its description in RNAcentral is "partial contains 5.8S ribosomal RNA, internal transcribed spacer 2, and large subunit ribosomal RNA". The stretch from base 1 to 120 matches the Rfam family "5.8S ribosomal RNA", at positions 35 to 154 of the family's 154-position model. The record is from RNAcentral.
GAUGAAGAACGCAGCGAAAUGCGAUAAGUAGUGUGAAUUGCAGAAUUCAGUGAAUCAUCGAAUCUUUGAACGCACAUUGCGCCCCUUGGUAUUCCAUGGGGCAUGCCUGUUCGAGCGUCAUUUGUACCUUCAAGCUUUGCUUGGUGUUAGGUGUUUGUCUCGCCUUUGCGUGUAGACUCGCCUUAAAAUAAUUGGCAGCCGGCGUAUUGAUUUCGGAGCGCAGUACAUCUCGCGCUUUGCACUCAUAACGACAGCGUCCAAAAGUACAUUUUACACUCUUGACCUCGGAUCAGGUAGGGAUACCCGCUGAACUUAAGCAUAUCAAUAAGCGGAGGA